AUACUUACCUGGACGGGAUCAAUGGGUGAUCAAGAAGGCCCAUGGUCUAGGAUAGUGACUUCCAUUGCACUUGGGAAGGGUGCUAUUCUAAGGUAUGUCCAAGUGGCAGAACCUACAUCAUAAUUUGUGGCAGAGGGGGUCUGCGUUCGCGCGACCCCAAC
Vigna unguiculata (cowpea) is the source of this 161-nucleotide small nuclear RNA. RefSeq annotates it as U1 spliceosomal RNA. Lineage: Eukaryota; Viridiplantae; Streptophyta; Magnoliopsida; Fabales; Fabaceae. The record is from RefSeq and is a predicted model, not a curated record.